RNAcentral lists this ribosomal RNA (433 nucleotides) under uncultured bacterium. RNAcentral describes it as "partial 16S ribosomal RNA". It matches the Rfam family "Bacterial small subunit ribosomal RNA", at positions 29 to 507 of the family's 1533-position model. The record is from RNAcentral.
AACGAACGCUGGCGGCAUGCCUAACACAUGCAAGUCGAACGAGACCUUCGGGUCUAGUGGCGCACGGGUGCGUAACGCGUGGGAACCUGCCCUUAGGUUCGGAAUAACUCCCCGCAAGGGGUGCUAAUACCAGAUAAUUUCUUCUGACCAAAGAUUUAUCGCCUUUGGAUGUGCCCGCGUUGGAUUAGCUAGUUGGUAGGGUAAAAGCCUACCAAGGCGACGAUCCAUAGCUGGUCUGAGAGGAUGGUCAGACACACUGGGACUGAGACACGGCCCAGACUCCUACGGGAGGCAGCAGUGGGGAAUAUUGGACAAUGGGCGAAAGCCUGAUCCAGCAAUGCCGCGUGAGUGAUGAAGGCCUUAGGGUUGUAAAGCUCUUUUACCCGGGAUGAUAAUGACAGUACCGGGAGAAUAAGCUCCGGCUAACUCCGUG